GUGUGUGUGUGUGUGUGUGCGCGCGCGCGCGCGCGUGUGUGCUGCCGUUCAAGUCUAUGACUGUCCAAUAUGGCUGUGCAUGUUGCAACACCGUUGUGCCUCUGCACAAAGUAUUGUCUACCAAGAUGAGAAAGAAUAGUAAAGACGCUGACGGACACCCACAGGGCUUACUGGGAUCAGAGGUGUGUGACCUAGACUUUGGGGACCUCACCAAGCCACUCACUGGAUUAAGAACACAGACUACUGCCUCAGAAGCUGACAGGUGCUCAGAACACCUCACUCUUCACCCCAACCUGCCUCACCUCGACUGGCUUUCUCCACAUGGGCAAGCUCAUCUGGAAACUUGAGGACAUCAGGAUAGUCAUUCUCACAUAACUCAGCCAAGAAGUGCAACAAUGUCAUCUUCUGAUCUGUGGACUUGGUAUCUCGAAGCUUGGGACAAGAGGAAAAUCAUUAGUCCUGACCUGCCCCUCAGGCCCACACUGGGCUCACAGAGGCCCGAGAGCCUUCCCUUCAGUUGUCCUGCCCUAUUUCCACACCUCACCUUACAGAGGAAGCUGAUAUUGAAGCCAAAAGCACCAGCAUUCCUGGAGCCGGCAUUCAUAUAGUUUCCAACAAGGAGGGUAAUUUCUAGGAGGCUGGAGAAGCUCUCGCUCUUGCGCAGCUCCUCACAAGCGGCAGUGACAGACACAAUCUCUGGC
Molecule: long non-coding RNA, 701 nt
Organism: Fukomys damarensis (Damara mole-rat)
Lineage: Eukaryota; Metazoa; Chordata; Mammalia; Rodentia; Bathyergidae
Exons: 3
Source: RefSeq, a predicted model, not a curated record